Molecule: ribosomal RNA, 484 nt
Filed under: uncultured bacterium
Lineage: Bacteria
Description: partial 16S ribosomal RNA
Rfam family: Bacterial small subunit ribosomal RNA
Source: RNAcentral
AUUGAACGCUGGCGGAAUGCUUUACACAUGCAAGUCGAACGGCAGCACGGGGGCAGCCCUGGUGGCGAGUGGCGAACGGGUGAGUAAUACAUCGGAACGUGCCCGGUCGUGGGGGAUAACGUAGCGAAAGUUACGCUAAUACCGCAUACGAUCUGAGGAUGAAAGCGGGGGACCUUCGGGCCUCGCGCGAUCGGAGCGGCCGAUGUCAGAUUAGGUAGUUGGUGGGGUAAAGGCCUACCAAGCCGACGAUCUGUAGCUGGUCUGAGAGGACGACCAGCCACACUGGGACUGAGACACGGCCCAGACUCCUACGGGAGGCAGCAGUGGGGAAUUUUGGACAAUGGGCGCAAGCCUGAUCCAGCCAUUCCGCGUGCAGGACGAAGGCCUUCGGGUCGUAAACUGCUUUUGUACGGAACGAAAAGGCUCUGGCUAAUACCUGGGGCUCAUGACGGUACCGUAAGAAUAGGCACCGGCUAACUACGUG